Molecule: ribosomal RNA, 688 nt
Filed under: Bacillus aerius
Lineage: Bacteria; Bacillati; Bacillota; Bacilli; Caryophanales; Bacillaceae
Description: bacterial SSU rRNA
Rfam family: Bacterial small subunit ribosomal RNA
Source: RNAcentral
GAGCUUGCUCCCGGAUGUUAGCGGCGGACGGGUGAGUAACACGUGGGUAACCUGCCUGUAAGACUGGGAUAACUCCGGGAAACCGGAGCUAAUACCGGAUAGUUCCUUGAACCGCAUGGUUCAAGGAUGAAAGACGGUUUCGGCUGUCACUUACAGAUGGACCCGCGGCGCAUUAGCUAGUUGGUGAGGUAACGGCUCACCAAGGCGACGAUGCGUAGCCGACCUGAGAGGGUGAUCGGCCACACUGGGACUGAGACACGGCCCAGACUCCUACGGGAGGCAGCAGUAGGGAAUCUUCCGCAAUGGACGAAAGUCUGACGGAGCAACGCCGCGUGAGUGAUGAAGGUUUUCGGAUCGUAAAGCUCUGUUGUUAGGGAAGAACAAGUGCAAGAGUAACUGCUUGCACCUUGACGGUACCUAACCAGAAAGCCACGGCUAACUACGUGCCAGCAGCCGCGGUAAUACGUAGGUGGCAAGCGUUGUCCGGAAUUAUUGGGCGUAAAGGGCUCGCAGGCGGUUUCUUAAGUCUGAUGUGAAAGCCCCCGGCUCAACCGGGGAGGGUCAUUGGAAACUGGGAAACUUGAGUGCAGAAGAGGAGAGUGGAAUUCCACGUGUAGCGGUGAAAUGCGUAGAGAUGUGGAGGAACACCAGUGGCGAAGGCGACUCUCUGGUCUGUAACUGACGCUGA